GACGAACGCUGGCGGCGUGCUUGACACAUGCAAGUCGAACGGAAAGGCCUGCUUUCCCUUGUGGAUUGCGGGUACUCGAGUGGCGAACGGGUGAGUAACACGUGAGUGAUCUGCCCCCAACUUGGGUAUAAGCCUGGGAAACUGGGUCUAAUUCCCGAUAGGACUGCAGGGUGGUGCCUGUGGUGGAAAACGAUUUUCUAGUGGUUGGGGAUGAGCUCGCGGCCUAUCAGCUUGUUGGUGGGGUAAUGGCCUACCAAGGCGGCGACGGGUAGCCGGCCUGGGAGGGUGGACGGCCACAUUGGGACUGAGAUACGGCCCAGACUCCUACGGGAGGCAGCAGUGGGGAAUAAUGCACAAUGGGCGGAAGCCUGAUGCAGCGACGCCGCGUGGGGGAUGACGGCCUUCGGGUUGUAAACUCCUUUCGACCGCGAGGAAGCCACCUGGUUGGAAGGGUGGUGACGGUAGUGGUAGAAGAAGCACCGGCUAACUACGUG
RNAcentral lists this ribosomal RNA (494 nucleotides) under uncultured bacterium. RNAcentral's name for it is "partial 16S ribosomal RNA". It matches the Rfam family "Bacterial small subunit ribosomal RNA", at positions 28 to 507 of the family's 1533-position model. The record is from RNAcentral.